UAAUGUGAUGAUCAUUUAUUCGACCGGGCGGACAUAUUCUAGUAUCUGGUGAUCGGCAGCUGUGCGGGUCCCCUCGCAAGGGGGGGCUUUCAAGUUUUGUUCCUUCUGUGUACAAAUUUUUGAGGGAACGAGCGAGCAUGGCAACAUUGUCGGUCGUUGGAAAACUGAUGAUUGGUCUCAAGAUAGCUGAUU
RNAcentral lists this small nucleolar RNA (192 nucleotides) under Huiozyma naganishii CBS 8797. RNAcentral's name for it is "Kazachstania naganishii CBS 8797 Small nucleolar RNA snR70". It matches the Rfam family "Small nucleolar RNA snR70". The record is from Rfam by way of RNAcentral. Lineage: Eukaryota; Fungi; Ascomycota; Saccharomycetes; Saccharomycetales; Saccharomycetaceae.